AAUAACGUACGAGAAAUCGGCGCUAAUACCUCAUAAUGCAGCGGAUCCGCAUGGAUAUGUUGUUAAAGGUUUACCGCCUUGGGAUAGGCUUGCGUCUGAUUAGUUAGUUGGUGUGGUAACGGCACACCAAGGCUACGAUCAGUAACUGGUCUGAGAGGAUGAUCAGUCACACUGGAACUGAGACACGGUCCAGACUCCUACGGGAGGCAGCAGUGAGGAAUAUUGGGCAAUGCUCGAAAGAGUGACCCAGCAACGCCGCGUGGAGGAUGAAGGUAUUCUAUAUCGUAAACUCCUGUGAGAGCAGACGAAAGACAGAUUAUUAAUCUGGAUGACUGUAUGCUCAGAGGAAGCCCCGGCUAACUACGUG
RNAcentral lists this ribosomal RNA (367 nucleotides) under uncultured bacterium. RNAcentral describes it as "bacterial SSU rRNA". It matches the Rfam family "Bacterial small subunit ribosomal RNA", at positions 142 to 507 of the family's 1533-position model. The record is from RNAcentral.